Mugil cephalus (flathead mullet) is the source of this 1303-nucleotide long non-coding RNA. RefSeq lists it as uncharacterized. The record is from RefSeq and is a predicted model, not a curated record. The transcript is spliced from 2 exons. Lineage: Eukaryota; Metazoa; Chordata; Actinopteri; Mugiliformes; Mugilidae.
GCACCGCGCCGCUUAUCGGGGGGAGACGAACCGGCGGACGAGAAACGCACGGCUGUGUGACAAGCUGGUUUACAUGCACCAAUGGUCAGCUUCAUUCAGACAAUACGAAGGUCAGCAUGAGGCAGCAGCUAUUUCAGUCUGCGUUCCAUGGUGUGCAGACUGAGUGAAACAUGAUCCGAGAUGGGCAGUGCUCGAGUCAGCCAAUCCAGCGCCCCUCUGCUGCAGCAGGACGGUGCGCAAGGGUCGAGCAAGGUCAAGCAAGACUUGCUAUUGUCACGAGUACAAACCAGCUACUACGAUGUGUGCUCAUGUGGCUAAGUAAACACUGUGCCCUCGGAUGUAUGAUUAAAGAUUAAAGAGAUUACUGCAGUAGUAACCGACACAUUUUUAGAGGAAAUGUAAAACAUUUUAAUGUUUAGUUAUUUCACAGUGAAAAAGAACAGCACAAGUCGUUUUCAGCGGAAUUGUUUUUGGCAAAUGACAUCUAAAUCCAGAGAUGGUGUACCAUUUAUAGUGUCUACUGCAGCACGGGAGCCUGGUCCAUUCCACAGAGGUCAAUGUCUGGAUUGUCAAGGAUUAUGAGACAUAUACUGUAUUUGUAUUGAGAUGGACAGAGCAAAUGAAAUGAAGUCUUCAAAACUGCAACCAAAGCCAAAAAGAAUUCAAAACAAAAAGCUCAAAUUCAGUCGUAAUACAAAGUUAGGAAUAAUAAUAAUAAAAAAAAAAACAAAACAAAAAAAAAACAUGCAAACAGGCACAAGGGGUGAAUUAAAACAUUACAGUGACAGUGAAAGACGUGAACGUAACAAUACUGGUGUCCUGCUGUGCGGUGUAAUAUAUCGUAACAUCUACAUACACGCUUGAUUUGAUUUGACACAGCCAUGCAAAUGCAAUAUAUCCAAAAAACAGUAAAAGAAAGCCGUCUGCACACACAAGCAGGAGAAACCCGCCGACGCAUGCAGGAGUUUGAAUAAUUGCCCUCUCUCAUCAAUCAGUACAAAAUAAAAAUAAAAACGAUAGCAGCCACAGAUGGACAGGGAAAGUAAAAUCACUCAGGGUCACGAUGAUUCACAAAAUACUCAAACAUUACGAAAUGUACAGUAUAUUCAAGAAAACAUUCUGCAAAGUGCUUAAACUGUGUGCUUUGCUUUGUUACAGGUCACACAUCAGUCGAUGAUUCUACCGAGCCAAAGCUGUCUUGCAUUGAAUUCCUGCCCACAUUCAAGUUAAAAACACGAAAUAGUGAACAUCUAUGAUGUAAAUAGAUCGUCGAUGAUAGGUACUCCUAAAAAAAAAACAAAAA